This is a non-coding RNA of Microcebus murinus (gray mouse lemur), 3252 nucleotides long. The record is from RefSeq and is a predicted model, not a curated record. NCBI's taxonomy places the organism in Eukaryota, Metazoa, Chordata, Mammalia, Primates, Cheirogaleidae.
AGCUUGUGUGGCGUGUGUGAGGUCCAGGUAGGUCCCAGGUAUCAGUUGUAACCAAAAACAUGAGUUACUCAACAACCAGAAGUAUAAAACCUGUGCUAAAACCUUGCCAAAGGUCCUUGUCUGAAGAGACCACUGAGCUGGUGCUCUGGGACCUAGACCCUAGCUUAAGCUGGCUUAAACAAACCUCCAUUUGUUGCUUACGUUGGUGUGAGCUUGUUACUCUGACAUUCUGUUCUGGGAUACAGAAUUCUUGGACACAACAUUUGGGGGCUCGUCCGGGAUUCCCAUAUUUCAGGACAGAAUUAGAGUAAAGGAGGUUAGAAUCCUCGAUAGGACCGACAAGGGACCUAGGCGGAUGCGCUGGUGAGUCGUUGGUCAGGGUCAGGAGGAGAUGUCCACUGAUCCUGGAGAGACUCCCUGUAGGCAACCUUGUAGCCCAGGGCUUGGUCGAGAGGGAGUCGAGGAAGAGGUCCGGACUAGGUUGGUGUUUGUGUGUCUUGUCGUCUCAUCUUAUUUGGUUUGGUUGAUGUUGAUGUUCUGUGCGUAUUCCUCCCCUUAAUGGCUCAAGAUCUUUCUUUAGGACAACCAGAACAGGACCAGAGCGAGACCAGUGCGAGUGUCCUCUUUGUAAAAUGAAGAAGCAGUGGAAGUCAGGUGACAAGAAGUCACCCGUGACAGUGCCCAAGCAGACAACUUAACUGUCCCUAAUUUCUUUCUUGCAGGCAUGGGACGGCCCCUCUCUACACCUCUGUCUAUCCUAGCGAGCCAUUUUAAGGAUGUGAGGGCCAGAGCACACGACCUCUCCUUAGAGGUCAAGAAAGGAAAAUUUGUCACUCUGUGUGAGGCAGAGUGGCCCGCCUUUGGGCUUGGAUGGCCGCAGGAAGGAUCUUUCCAUGCCUCCCUCAUUGAGGUGAAGGAGGUAGUUUUGGGCCAUCACGGCCAUCUGGACCAAAUUCCUUACAUGAUAGUGUGGCAGGACUGGGUCCAGGAUCCGCCACCCUGGCUAAAAACGAUCCUGCCCGCCUCCAAAGAAAAAGCAAAGAUUUUUGUCGCUAGAAAUGCUAAGGAGAAGAAUAAAGGUGGGCAGAAACCCUCCAUGGGCUCACCACGGGUUCUGCCUGACUCCAAUUUGUAUCCAGACCUUACAGGUUUAGAAUGGAAUAAGCCCCCACCAUAUAACCCUGGGGCAGCCCCUGCUGCUCCUGCAGCUCAGGAGAGCACAGGACCGCCGGCAGAGGGACCAGCCUACGGGACCAGGCACUGGACUGGCCAGACCCCAGAUCCAGAACCCGUAAAGCCACUCCCUCUGCAAGGACCUCCUGGGGUGGAUGGGGGGCAGGCAUGCCAGUAUUGGCCCUUCUCCACUAGUGACCUCUACAACUGGAAGUCCCAGAAUGCCAAUUUUCCCAAAAACCCCGAGGGCCCUGAUUAACCUUUUAGAUUCUGUCCUUUACACGCACCAGCCCACAUGGGACGACUGUCAACAGUUGCUUAAGGUCCUCAUCACAACUGAAGAGAGAGAAUCCAAGGAGAGGCACAGAAGCUGGUUCCGGGAGAGGACAGGAGGACCACCAUCAACCCCCGAGUCAUUGACCAGACCUUUCGCUUAGAGCCACCUUCUUGGGAUUACAACGAGGCUGAAAGUAGGGAGCGUCUCCGGGUCUACCGCCAGACUCUGAUGGCCGGUCUCCGAGCAGCGGCGUGAAAGCCAACCAAUUUGGCCAAGGUUAAUGGGGUAGCAACCUGGAUCCACCACUCCCACGUGAGACUGGCUGGUGAGGACAAGCAAAAGCAACAGCGGAACGAGUAGAGGGCGACAGCAGACCCCAAAAAUCCACUAAAGACCAGGCUGACCCACGUGACAGCUGCGGAGUAUAUGGGACUAUUGACUCAGAUUCUAGUAAAACUGCUGAUCGCCCUUCUAGGACUCGGAUUGGGACUAGUUACCCCAAAGACUUAGACUAAGCUGCAAAGAUGGGGUUUGGUAUUGUUCUAUGUUUCAUACACAAGUGCAUUAUAGAUAUUCUGCUCCUGGACCAAAGUUUUGCAGUUAUAAUUAAUAAUAAAAACCCACAUCUGCCAUAUAAACUCACAUAAAAAAUAACUAACUUAAAAACCCAUGAGGUUUAUAAUUGUAUCUCAGGGACAGAGCCACUAAACACAUGGUGGCCAGACUUAUGUUUUAACCUAAAAUAAAUAAGGCCCGUGAGAGAUGAGCAAACCUCUACCUCGCAUGUAAUAGCCAAAUGAUAUCUUGGUCAUUUGGCUAGCCUGGCUGCAUGGGACCAGAGGGUUUCCAUGAGCCCAUAUGGGUUUUAUGCAUGUCCAGGGUUUAAAAAAAAAAAUGAGACGCACAUGUAAAAAAAAAAAAUCGAGUCCCUCUACUGUGCAGCCUGAAAGUGUGUGACCACAAAUGACAGAGAGUAAAAAUGGCAGGUACAACCUUUUUUUCAUUAAAAUGUCCUAUGUCCAACCUUGCACUAAAAGCAGAUAUGCCAGAGACUGUAACCUGAUACGUGUAAGAUUUACAGAAAAAAAAAAAAAAAGAUAAAAGGUAGAUGUCAGGGCUGUCUUAAAAAAAUAUGCCUCUAUCAAAGGCCAUAUUUCUGCUCCAUAAUACAAAUCAAACUAAAAGUGGCUCGCAUCUAAAAAGUCCUUGACUUCACUAUCCAAAGUAGUACUACAAAACCAGAGAGAACUAGACCUUAGAGGGCUGUGUGCAGCCCUGGGGGGGGGGGAAAUGUUGUUUUCAUGCAGACCAUACAAGAGUAGUCAAAAAAAUCCAUGGUUAAAGUUAGAGAGGGAUUGACAAAGCAAAAACGAGAGAGAGAGCAGAACAAAAGAUGGUUUGAGUCAUGGUUUAAUAGCUCCCCUUGGCUGACUACUCUGCACUCCACUCUACUAGGACCCCUAGUUGUGCUUAUACUCAUUUUAACAUUUGGACCUUGCAUUCUAAAUAGAUUAAUUGCUUUUGUCUAAGAGCGAGCCAAUACCGUACAGCUGAUGGUGUUGAGACAACAACACCAGAGGCUAAAUAGAGACUGCCUGGAGAUGAGUGUUAUGUUAGAUGCAACUUAGGAGCAAGAGUGCUCGUAGGGACAGAAAGAAGGGAGGAAUGUGGGAUACAAGCUAACCGCUAUCUUGGCUUCUGUACCUUAGCUUUUGUAAUUCGCUUGCUUGCUUGCCACUUAGCCUGACUAAAGACAUGACAGGCUUCUACAAAGUAAAAACAACAACAACAACAAAAAAAAA